RNAcentral lists this ribosomal RNA (449 nucleotides) under uncultured bacterium. Its description in RNAcentral is "partial 16S ribosomal RNA". It matches the Rfam family "Bacterial small subunit ribosomal RNA", at positions 29 to 523 of the family's 1533-position model. The record is from RNAcentral.
AACGAACGCUGGCGGCAGGCUUAACACAUGCAAGUCGAACGAGAUCUUCGGAUCUAGUGGCAGACGGGUGUGGAACACGUGGGAACAUCCCUUUCAGUUCGGAAUAACGUUGGAAAACUAACGAUAAUACCGGAUUCGUCCUUCGGGAGAAAGAUUUAUCGCUGAAAGAUUGGCCCGCGUCUCAUUAGCUAGUUGGUGAGGUAAUGGCUCACCAAGGCUACUAUCAGUAGCUGAUCUGAGAGGAUGAUCAGCCACAUUGGGACUGAGACACGGCCCAAACUCCUACGGGAGGCAGCAGUGGGGAAUAUUGGACAAUGGGCGCAAGCCUGAUCCAGCCAUGCCGCGUGAGUGAUGACGGCCUUCGGGUUGUAAAGCUCUUUUGUCCGGGAAGAUAAUGACUGUACCGGAAGAAUAAGCCCCGGCAAACUUCGUGCCAGCAGCCGCCGCCG